UGCGUAGGCGGAAUAUUAAGUCAGUGGUGAAAUCCUGCGGCUCAACCGUAGAACUGCCAUUGAUACUGAUAUUCUUGAAUGUAGUUGAGGUAGGCGGAAUGUGUAAUGUAGCGGUGAAAUGCUUAGAUAUUACACAGAACACCGAUUGCGAAGGCAACUUACUAAACUAUGAUUGACGCUGAGGCACGAAAGCGUGGGGAGCGAACAGGAUUAGAUACCCUGGUAGUCC
Molecule: ribosomal RNA, 229 nt
Filed under: uncultured bacterium
Lineage: Bacteria
Description: partial 16S ribosomal RNA
Rfam family: Bacterial small subunit ribosomal RNA
Source: RNAcentral